AAACACGGACCAAGGAGUCUAGAAUAUGCGCGAGUCAAAGGGCUGGCUAAACCCAAAGGCGAAACGAAAGUGAAUUCUUUUAUAGGGCCGAUCCGGUUCGGGGUGUCCGGCGGGCGGCGGAGGGAGUCAAAUCUCGUCGUCGUUUCUUCGGCCCCCGAUUCAUCUCCUUGAUACGAGGACGGCGCAGGCCCGGGGCUCGCACGCGACCUCCCCGUCGUUAAUGCCUAGGCGUUAGUCCUCUCGUUCGCGAGUACGGGUUUUUCUCUAGCGCGCGUCACAUUGCCGAACCUUCUUCUCCGAUUCGUCGGUCUGGGAGGCCAGGUCUUGUCGGGGCGUUCUUGGGUGCCCGCGAGUGCGUCGUUCGGGGCUUUCGUCUCGCAGGCGUGGGACGAGCAGCGGGUUCUCUGAGCGCAUAUUCUAGUACCCGAAAGAUGGUGAUCUAUGCCUGGCCAGGAUGAAGCCAGAGGAAACUCUGGUGGAGGUCCGUAGCGAUUCUGACGUGCAAAUCGAUCGUCGGAGCUGGGCAUAGGGGCGAAAGACCAAUCGAACCAUCUAGUAGCUG
Molecule: ribosomal RNA, 562 nt
Filed under: Chaetophiloscia lagoi
Lineage: Eukaryota; Metazoa; Arthropoda; Malacostraca; Isopoda; Philosciidae
Description: partial large subunit ribosomal RNA
Rfam family: Eukaryotic large subunit ribosomal RNA
Source: RNAcentral